GAAUCGGCCCUUCUGAGGGCCACCUAAUUUAUUUUACUUAAGAGGG
Molecule: non-coding RNA, 46 nt
Organism: Glossina austeni
Lineage: Eukaryota; Metazoa; Arthropoda; Insecta; Diptera; Glossinidae
Source: Rfam